UGGGGAUAACCUUGCGAAAGUAAGACUAAUACCCAAUGACGUCUCUAGAAGACAUCUGAAGGAGAUUAAAGAUUUAUCGGUGAUGGAUGGGGAUGCGUCUGAUUAGCUUGUUGGCGGGGUAACGGCCCACCAAGGCGACGAUCAGUAGGGGUUCUGAGAGGAAGGUCCCCCACAUUGGAACUGAGACACGGUCCAAACUCCUACGGGAGGCAGCAGUGAGGAAUAUUGGUCAAUGGGCGAGAGCCUGAACCAGCCAAGUAGCGUGCAGGAAGACGGCCCUAUGGGUUGUAAACUGCUUUUAUAAGGGAAUAAAGUGAGUCUCGUGAGACUUUUUGCAUGUACCUUAUGAAUAAGGACCGGCUAAUUCCGUGCCAGCAGCCGCGGUAAUACGGAAGGUCCGGGCGUUAUCCGGAUUUAUUGGGUUUAAAGGGAGCGUAGGCCGGAGAUUAAGCGUGUUGUGAAAUGUAGACGCUCAACGUCUGCACUGCAGCGCGAACUGGUUUCCUUGAGUACGCACAAAGUGGGCGGAAUUCGUGGUGUAGCGGUGAAAUGCUUAGAUAUCACGAAGAACUCCGAUUGCGAAGGCAGCUCACUGGAGCGCAACUGACGCUGAAGCUCGAAAGUGCGGGUAUCGAACAGGAUUAGAUACCCUGGUAGUCCGCACGGUAAACGAUGGAUGCCCGCUGUUGGCCUGAACAGGUCAGCGGCCAAGCGAAAGCAUUAAGCAUCCCACCUGGGGAGUAC
This 744-nucleotide ribosomal RNA is filed under the name uncultured bacterium. RNAcentral describes it as "bacterial SSU rRNA". It matches the Rfam family "Bacterial small subunit ribosomal RNA", at positions 138 to 883 of the family's 1533-position model. The record is from RNAcentral.